GGCAAGCAACUAUCUGAAAUGUUUUCAGAGCUUCUCUGGUGUUACAUGCAUAGUAAAUAUUUUCUUUAACUUAGAUGAAAAAUGUCUGCUUCCUCAACCAGGGUGAUGCAUUGAAUUGUGACACAUGAGGGAAUAUGGAACAUUUUAAAACACGGAAUAGAAAAUGUGUAAGAUACAUUAUCCUUCAACUCAAAGGGCUUUUACAGCAUAAUCUCAGUUAUUGUCAUACCUCCAAAUAUAAGGCAGGCCAAAUCAUCUCUGUUCUACCAGGAUCUAACCCAACCAGCCUCAGAGCCCACUGGAAGGAGUGGGAAGGGGAUGCCAGAAAGUCUGGGCAUGCAGGGGAAGUUGUGCCUGCUGAAGUCUGCCUGCUGGGUCUGUAUAGUGUCAGUGCCCUCACAAAUGCCAACUUCUUUUGACACAUUCUAUGCAGCUUCUAGAGGACUGGUUGAUACGGUGUGUAUAUUUAUUCUCUUUAAAUCUCACAGUGAAAUGUGAUCAGUGUUGGAGGGGCCUGGUGGCAUGUGUUUCAGUCAUGGUGGUGGAUCCCUCAUGAAUGGCUUGGUGUCCUCCCCACUGUAAGGAGUGAGUUCUCACUCUGUUAGUUCAUGGGAGGUUUGGUAAAAAGAGUCUGGGACUUUCCUCUCUCACACUUUCUUGCUCCUGAUCUUGCCAUGUGACACACCUGCACCCCUUCACCUUCCUCUGUGAUUGAAAGCUUCCUGAGGCCCUAACCAGAGACAUAUGCUAGCACCAUGCUUCUUGUACGGUCUGUGGAACCAUGGGCCAAAUAAAC
RNAcentral lists this long non-coding RNA (796 nucleotides) under Rhinopithecus bieti (black snub-nosed monkey). RNAcentral's name for it is "lncRNA (ENSRBIG00000045172.1)". The record is from RNAcentral. Lineage: Eukaryota; Metazoa; Chordata; Mammalia; Primates; Cercopithecidae.